Molecule: ribosomal RNA, 278 nt
Filed under: uncultured bacterium
Lineage: Bacteria
Description: partial 16S ribosomal RNA
Rfam family: Bacterial small subunit ribosomal RNA
Source: RNAcentral
UGCCAGCCGCCGCGGUAAUACGUAGGUCGCAAGCGUUGUCCGGAAUUACUGGGUGUAAAGGGAGCGUAGGCGGGAAUGUAAGUUGAAUGUUUAAACUAUGGGCUCAACCCAUAAUCGCGUUCAAAACUGCAUUUCUUGAGUGGAGUAGAGGCAGGCGGAAUUCCUAGUGUAGCGGUGAAAUGCGUAGAUAUUAGGAGGAACACCAGUGGCGAAGGCGGCCUGCUGGACCGUGAUCGACGCUGAGGAGCGAAAGCUAGGGGAGCAAACAGGAUUAGAUA